UUGCUGGAUGCUGACGAGCGGCGGACGGGUGAGUAAUGCAUAGGAAUCUGCCCGAUAGUGGGGGAUAACCUGGGGAAACCCAGGCUAAUACCGCAUACGUCCUACGGGAGAAAGGGGGCUCCGGCUCCCGCUAUGGGAUGAGCCUAUGUCGGAUUAGCUAGUUGGUGAGGUAACGGCUCACCAAGGCCACGAUCCGUAGCUGGUCUGAGAGGAUGAUCAGCCACAUCGGGACUGAGACACGGCCCGAACUCCUACGGGAGGCAGCAGUGGGGAAUAUUGGACAAUGGGGGAAACCCUGAUCCAGCCAUGCCGCGUGUGUGAAGAAGGCCCUCGGGUUGUAAAGCACUUUCAGCGAGGAAGAACGCCUAACGGUUAAUACCCGCUAGGAAAGACAUCACUCGCAGAAGAAGCACCGGCUAACUCCGUGCCAGCAGCCGCGGUAAUACGGAGGGUGCAAGCGUUAAUCGGAAUUACUGGGCGUAAAGCGCGCGUAGGUGGCUUGAUAAGCCGGUUGUGAAAGCCCCGGGCUCAACCUGGGAACGGCAUCCGGAACUGUCAAGCUAGAGUGCAGGAGAGGAAGGUAGAAUUCCCGGUGUAGCGGUGAAAUGCGUAGAGAUCGGGAGGAAUACCAGUGGCGAAGGCGGCCUUCUGGACUGACACUGACACUGAGGUGCGAAAGCGUGGGUAGCAAACAGGAUUGAGAUACCCUGGUAGUCCACGCCGUAAACGAUGUCGACCAGCCGUUGGGUGCCUAGCGCAC
Molecule: ribosomal RNA, 760 nt
Filed under: Halomonas sp.
Lineage: Bacteria; Pseudomonadati; Pseudomonadota; Gammaproteobacteria; Oceanospirillales; Halomonadaceae
Description: bacterial SSU rRNA
Rfam family: Bacterial small subunit ribosomal RNA
Source: RNAcentral